This 221-nucleotide ribosomal RNA is filed under the name uncultured bacterium. Its description in RNAcentral is "partial 16S ribosomal RNA". It matches the Rfam family "Bacterial small subunit ribosomal RNA", at positions 111 to 334 of the family's 1533-position model. The record is from RNAcentral.
UAACGCGUGAGGAACCUGCCUUUCAGAGGGGGACAACAGUGGAACGACUGCUAAUACCGCAUGACACAUUGGGGUCGCAUGGCCCUGAUGUCAAAGAUUUAUCGCUGAAAGAUGGCCUCGCGUCUGAUUAGCUAGUUGGUGAGGUAACGGCCCACCAAGGCGACGAUCAGUAGCCGGACUGAGAGGUUGACCGGCCACAUUGGGACUGAGAUACGGCCCAG